This 1206-nucleotide long non-coding RNA is filed under the name Oreochromis niloticus (Nile tilapia). Its description in RNAcentral is "lncRNA (ENSONIG00000034523.1)". The record is from RNAcentral. Lineage: Eukaryota; Metazoa; Chordata; Actinopteri; Cichliformes; Cichlidae.
AUGGGAUUCAUUUUACAGGAAGAUGCCUGCAGUUCAAACCCCCUUCCUGGAUUUGAAAAGCUGGAAAUGUUCUGCUCUGUGCUUGUGGAGAUUAGCCUGAUAGAGGACAAGCUAUCACUUACCACUGAGCAGAGGAACAAGGUCCUCCAAACCUGGAAUAGCGUGGAGGAGCAUGACAAGCAGCCACAAAAGUUUAACCAGCUGUACAAGACCCACCGGGGCAACACCCUCUACUGCCGCACUAAAAGGGAUGACCUUGUUGAUGCUGCUCUUAUACAGAGAGUAAAGAUGGCGAAGCGCUAUGCACCCGCACAACAUGACAUCAGCGCUCAGAGCAACAGGCUAAUGUACACUCUGGUUAAACUUUUGUGGUUGCGCUCACCUCAGGGGUCUCGCAACAGUCCAGAGAAACUGUCUAUUUUAAAGGCCUACGAGCGAAUACAGCACCGGAUUCUGGUGGAAGAUGCGGUUCUCUGUAAAGCAGGCAUUCCUCUCCCUAAAAUUAACAUCAAGACUGUGCGGGACUUCAUUUGUCAGCAAGAAAGGAUCCUUAAUCUGCAUGCAACAAAACAUCCAUCGAUUUGGACCAAGAUCACCUCCAUCUCAUCUGCACACCUACCUCCAGCACCACACCAACCAGCAGUACUCCCUCCUCCAGACUACCCCCUGUUGAAAUAUGAGCCCACGCCCAGCACUGCAGGGACCAAGGUUUUGAAGGGAAGGAGAGACUUGCUGAUGCCAGUCUCCCAGCCUCAGCCACCUCUUCCACCUGUGCCACUACCACCAGCACUUGGAAAGACCCCCGCAACCUCUACCAUCACCAGACCUGUGUCUUCAGUGGCUGCUUCUACAUCAACCUCUGAGACUGUUCGGCCCCCCAUACUGCAAAAAAAACCCUGCAGCGAGACUAUCCCUGGCAAUAGUGGCCCUGCUACAUCACUCUCUUCCACAUUGGUCAUAACACCCACCAUUAACACACUAGACACUGCAGGCAGACCUUCAGUCUGGGCAAGGGCAACACAGUAUAAGCGUAAGCUUAAGGAUCACCCCUCAGAAGUAGGAGCCAAAGUGUCACGGGUGCAAAACCUUCCCAUUUGCAGAAUCUGCCACCAGCCAACCCAAGGACAUAAAAAAUAUUUUUUAAAAAACUUUCUGCUCUGUAAAAAUGAUGUCCCCAUCAACAGGUCUGAAAAAUAUAGUUUUUAG